This 510-nucleotide ribosomal RNA is filed under the name uncultured bacterium. Its description in RNAcentral is "partial 16S ribosomal RNA". It matches the Rfam family "Bacterial small subunit ribosomal RNA", at positions 28 to 507 of the family's 1533-position model. The record is from RNAcentral.
GACGAACGCUGGCGGCGUGCUUAACACAUGCAAGUCGAACGAAGAGCGAUGGACGCUUGCUUCUAUCAAUCUUAGUGGCGAACGGGUGAGUAACGCGUAAUCAACCUGCCCUUCAGAGGGGGACAACAGUUGGAAACGACUGCUAAUACCGCAUACGAUCUAAUCUCGGCAUCGAGGAUAGAUGAAAGGUGGCCUCUACAUGUAAGCUAUCACUGAAGGAGGGGAUUGCGUCUGGUUAGCUAGUUGGAGGGGUAACGGCCCACCAAGGCGAUGAUCAGUAGCCGGUCUGAGAGGAUGAACGGCCACAUUGGGACUGAGACACGGCCCAGACUCCUACGGGAGGCAGCAGUGGGGAAUCUUCCGCAAUGGACGAAAGUCUGACGGAGCAACGCCGCGUGAGUGAUGACGGCCUUCGGGUUGGAAAGCUCUGUUAAUCGGGACGAAAGGCCUUCUUGCGAAUAGUGAGAAGGAUUGACGGUACCGGAAGAGAAAGCCACGGCUAACUACGUG